Long non-coding RNA from Melozone crissalis (California towhee), 303 nucleotides. RefSeq lists it as uncharacterized. The record is from RefSeq and is a predicted model, not a curated record. Lineage: Eukaryota; Metazoa; Chordata; Aves; Passeriformes; Passerellidae. The transcript has 3 exons.
CCGGCGGGCCCCGAGCGGCAGCGGGAGCUGCAGGCGCAGGAGCUGCUGCGCGCCGCGGGGCUGCACGGGGACGGGGACGGACACGGGGACGGAGCACCUGGGGCAGGCCGUGUCCCCGAGGAGCCCCCGGAGCGGAUGGACAUCGGGGACAUCCGGGAUCACCUGGACUCGCUGCAGCUCUGGGACAGCGCCGGGGCCCCGCCCACGGGCCCUGAGCCCCGCCCACCCUCACCUGAGCAGGGCUGGCCAUGUCCCCAGUGCAUGUUCCUGAACAAGCCCACCCGCCCAGGCUGUGAGAUGUGC